Long non-coding RNA from Felis catus (domestic cat), 450 nucleotides. RefSeq lists it as uncharacterized. The record is from RefSeq and is a predicted model, not a curated record. The transcript has 2 exons. NCBI's taxonomy places the organism in Eukaryota, Metazoa, Chordata, Mammalia, Carnivora, Felidae.
AGAUACUAAAAAGGCAAAAAAAAAAUGUUCAAUCCUCCAAAUUGAGGCAAAUGAUCUAGUGUCAUGCUCUGGAAGGAAUUUCCACUAAUUAUAGAGUCAACGGAAUUGGGAAGAGGACAGAAGUCAGUGUCCUAUCCAUGCUUUGCCUCAGGGUGAUCCAAGCAGGACAGCCGCGCGGGAGAACACAGACAUGUGCUGUCUCACCUGCUGCCAACACAUGGCUAGAAACACUGUCCCACAGCAAGUGGAUGGAUCAGUGAAACUAAGUCUCAAAGCUCAGCCCGUGGCUUUGGACAUUGUCUCAGAGGAGGAACUCAGGGAAUAGAUCAUGAGUCCUUAAACUUUCUUGUGUGCUAUGGAUCUCUUUGGCAGUUUGGUGAAGCCUCUGGAUUCCCUAAAAGAUCCUAUGAAGUAUAUUGAAAUACAGUCAUUAAAAUAUUUUGAAAAACA